This 811-nucleotide ribosomal RNA is filed under the name uncultured bacterium. Its description in RNAcentral is "bacterial SSU rRNA". It matches the Rfam family "Bacterial small subunit ribosomal RNA", at positions 406 to 1231 of the family's 1533-position model. The record is from RNAcentral.
GGAUGACACUUUUCGGAGCGUAAACUCCUUUUGUUGGGAAAGAAUAAUGACGGUACCCAACGAAUAAGCACCGGCUAACUCCGUGCCAGCAGCCGCGGUGAUACGGAGGGUGCAAGCGUUACUCGGAAUCACUGGGCGUAAAGGGCGCGUAGGCGGAUUAUCAAGUCUUUUGUGAAAUCUAACGGCUUAACCGUUAAACUGCUUAAGAAACUGAUAAUCUAGAGUAGGGGAGAGGCAGAUGGAAUUCUUGGUGUAGGGGUAAAAUCCGUAGAGAUCAAGAAGAAUACCUAUUGCGAAAGCGAUCUGCUGGAACUUAACUGACGCUAAUGCGCGAAAGCGUGGGGAGCAAACAGGAUUAGAUACCCUGGUAGUCCACGCCCUAAACGAUGUAUACUAGUUGUUGCUUUGCUAGUCAAGGCAGUAAUGCACCUAACGGAUUAAGUAUACCGCCUGGGGAGUACGGUCGCAAGAUUAAAACUCAAAGGAAUAGACGGGGACCCGCACAAGCGGUGGAGCAUGUGGUUUAAUUCGAAGAUACGCGAAGAACCUUACCCGGGCUUGACAUCUAUGGAAUCUCUUAGAGAUAAGAGAGUGCUAGCUUGCUAGAACCAUAAGACAGGUGCUGCACGGCUGUCGUCAGCUCGUGUCGUGAGAUGUUGGGUUAAGUCCCGCAACGAGCGCAACCCACGUAUUUAGUUGCUAACGGUUGGGCCGAGCACUCUAAAUAGACUGCCUUCGUAAGGAGGAGGAAGGUGUGGACGACGUCAAGUCAUCGUGGCCCUUAUGCCCAGGGCGACACACGUGCUACAAU